This 76-nucleotide transfer RNA is filed under the name Pseudoalteromonas sp. RNAcentral describes it as "tRNA-Gly". It matches the Rfam family "tRNA". From Rfam's summary of the family: Transfer RNA (tRNA) molecules are approximately 80 nucleotides in length. Their secondary structure includes four short double-helical elements and three loops (D, anti-codon, and T loops). RNAcentral also lists the same sequence under 74 other names. Lineage: Bacteria; Pseudomonadati; Pseudomonadota; Gammaproteobacteria; Alteromonadales; Pseudoalteromonadaceae. The record is from RNAcentral.
GCGGCACUAGCUCAGUUGGUAGAGCGCAACCUUGCCAAGGUUGAGGUCACGAGUUCGAGCCUCGUGUGCCGCUCCA